AAAUGAAUAGACGGGGACCCGCACAAGUGGUGGAGCAUGUGGUUUAAUUCGAAGAUACGCGAAAAACCUUACCUGGCCUUGACAUUGAUAGAAUCCUAUAGAGAUAUGGGAGUGCCCUUUUGGGAGCUUGAAAACAGGUGCUGCACGGCUGUCGUCAGCUCGUGUCGUGAGAUGUUGGGUUAAGUCCCGCAACGAGCGCAACCCUCGUCCUUAGUUGCUAACAGUUUAGCUGAGCACUCUAGGGAGACUGCCUACGCAAGUAGGAGGAAGGUGAGGACGACGUCAAGUCAUCAUGGCCCUUACGGCCAGGGCUACACACGUGCUACAAUGGGGCAUACAGAGUGUUGCAAUACCGCGAGGUGGAGCCAAUCACUAAAAUGCCUCUCAGUUCGGAUUGUUCUCUGCAACUCGAGAGCAUGAAGCUGGAAUCACUAGUAAUCGUGGAUCAGCAUUGCCACGGUGAAUACGUUCCCGGGUCUUGUACACACCGCCCGU
RNAcentral lists this ribosomal RNA (495 nucleotides) under uncultured bacterium. Its description in RNAcentral is "bacterial SSU rRNA". It matches the Rfam family "Bacterial small subunit ribosomal RNA", at positions 903 to 1397 of the family's 1533-position model. The record is from RNAcentral.